UUUUCUCUUUUUGUCACAAUAGAGAGACAUCGUCCUCGAUAUUUUUUUAAAAAAUUUGGGCUGAUUUUAAAAUUUUCUGCCAAAUUUCAUUUUGGUUUAUUUGGUGGGUCAGAUCAAAUUUUAGUUAAAUUAUGGUCAGGGUCGGAUUUUAAUUUAUCAAUGGGAGGACUGGAAAAUAAUUAUUUUUGAACCAUAAGAAACAUACACAGUUUGGUACAAACACGGAUGUCUAAAUUCACUAAGGAACACAUAAAGAUGUCAUACUCACAAGUCACAAUCCAAAAAGAAAAAUAAGUUCCCAAACGAGAAAUGAAAACAAGAAAAAAACUUACAAAUACACAAAACACUGAGAAAAUACUGUAAAUAUUACAAGUUUUUCUAUAAAUAAACGGUAUAAUAUAAUUAGAUAAAUGAGCUAAAGCACCAGUCGGACACUUGGGUGUAGAGAAUAUGACUUUAUAAGCAAACAAAAAAUUUGAUCAAAAAAAAAAGAAGAAGGAAUAAGAAAUUAGUGAAGGUGCAAAAUUAAUAAAAUGAUAAAGUGAGUUAAAAGAAGAGUUAGACUUGUAAGAGUCAAAGUGAGAAGUUCGAGUAGAGAUGGCUCAAUACCCAAUAUGGACUAGUGUCAGUGAUGUUCACAUGGCAAUGCUCAAUUCACUGGCUGCUUCUGCUUAUUCUUUCUCCAAUCUUCAACGGCUAACAUUUUUUCCUAUUCCCAUCGAAUCAAUGACCAGGCAAAAGUUAAACAAAAUUACGCAAUUUAAUGUCAUGUGUUUGGAAAUAAUCGUGAUUGUUUGUUUAUAUAUUAUAUAUGUGAUAAAUUGAUAAUGCUCAUCCCAUGCAGAAUGUUCUGUAUGAAACGAACCAAACAUCAUCUUCAAAAGAAAGUAAACGAACUAAAUAUUGUAUCCAUUUGUACAGAGAGAUGUGUUUGUUUUUGGCAAUAAUAAGCACAGUGCAUGAGUCGCCUGGUCUCGUG
RNAcentral lists this long non-coding RNA (979 nucleotides) under Brassica rapa (field mustard). RNAcentral's name for it is "long non-coding RNA (BRAP_LNC000846)". The record is from RNAcentral. Lineage: Eukaryota; Viridiplantae; Streptophyta; Magnoliopsida; Brassicales; Brassicaceae.